UACAGAGGUGGCAAGCGUUGUUCGGAAUUACUGGGCGUAAAGGGCGCGUAGGCGGCCUUCUAAGUCAGACGUGAAAUCCCCAGGCUUAACUUGGGAACUGCGUCUGAUACUGGAGGGCUCGAGUGCGGGAGAGGGAUGUGGAAUUCCAGGUGUAGCGGUGAAAUGCGUAGAUAUCUGGAGGAACACCGGUGGCGAAGGCGGCAUCCUGGACCGACACUGACGCUGAGGCGCGAAAGCUAGGGGAGCAAACGGG
RNAcentral lists this ribosomal RNA (253 nucleotides) under uncultured bacterium. RNAcentral's name for it is "partial 16S ribosomal RNA". It matches the Rfam family "Bacterial small subunit ribosomal RNA", at positions 524 to 776 of the family's 1533-position model. The record is from RNAcentral. RNAcentral also lists the same sequence under 2 other names.